This 373-nucleotide unclassified non-coding RNA is filed under the name fungal sp. RNAcentral's name for it is "partial internal transcribed spacer region". The stretch from base 1 to 46 matches the Rfam family "Eukaryotic small subunit ribosomal RNA", at positions 1786 to 1831 of the family's 1831-position model. Lineage: Eukaryota; Fungi. The record is from RNAcentral.
AAGUCGUAACAAGGUUUCCGUAGGUGAACCUGCGGAAGGAUCAUUAACACGUAUCCAAACGUUAAAAACCCUGUAACCCGCAAGGAACAGCAAUCCCGGUAAAUCAUUGUUGAACAGUUUUGAUUCGGGACCUCUGUACAGUUACGGUCGUAGCUUAGAGUCAGUGGCAUGGCUUCCCCAAGCAGUAGUGAAAUGACAUUGUCACUAUCUGUGUAAGGAUAACGCCUCACGGUUGCUAGAGGUCGAUCACCGGCCGGCAAACAUGUCACAGGGCUAUAUGCCCCCUAACCACCCCUUGCACGAAUGUCUCGCCUAGUGGUCACGCGCUUGGCACCAAAACGAACAACUGUUAACAAUGGAUAUCUUGGUUCUC